This 397-nucleotide ribosomal RNA is filed under the name uncultured bacterium. RNAcentral describes it as "partial 16S ribosomal RNA". It matches the Rfam family "Bacterial small subunit ribosomal RNA", at positions 338 to 732 of the family's 1533-position model. The record is from RNAcentral.
CCUACGGGAGGCAGCAGUGAGGAAUAUUGGUCAAUGGACGAGAGUCUGAACCAGCCAAGUCGCGUGAAGGAUGACUGCCCUAUGGGUUGUAAACCUCUUUUAUCUGGGAACAAAGUCCAGUAUGUAUCCUCUUUUGUAUGUACCAUAUGAAUAAGGAUCGGCUAACUCCGUGCCAGCAGCCGCGGUAAUCCGGAGGGUCCGAGCGUUAACCGGAUUUAUUGGGUUUAAAGGGAGCGUAGGCGGUCUCUUAAGUCAGGUGGGAAAGUUUGCGGGUCAACCGUAACAUAGCAGUUGAAACUGGGGGUCUAGAGUGCGGCAGAGGUAGGCGGAAUGCGUGGUGUAGCGGUGAAAUGCAUAGAUAUCACGCAGAACUCCGAUUGCGAAGGCAGCAUACCGG